Molecule: ribosomal RNA, 343 nt
Filed under: uncultured beta proteobacterium
Lineage: Bacteria; Pseudomonadati; Pseudomonadota; Betaproteobacteria
Description: bacterial SSU rRNA
Rfam family: Bacterial small subunit ribosomal RNA
Source: RNAcentral
GGCGGUGAUGUAAGACAGCUCGUGAAAUCCCCGGGCUCAACCUGGGAAUUGCGAUUGUGACUGCAUCGCUGGAGUGCGGCAGAGGGGGAUGGAAUUCCGCGUGUAGCAGUGAAAUGCGUAGAUAUGCGGAGGAACACCGAUGGCGAAGGCAAUCCCCUGGGCCUGCACUGACGCUCAUGCACGAAAGCGUGGGGAGCAAACAGGAUUAGAUACCCUGGUAGUCCACGCCCUAAACGAUGUCAACUGGUUGUUGGGUCUCUUCUGACUCAGUAACGAACUGAACGCGUGAAGUUGACCGCCUGGGGAGUACGGCCGCAAGGUUGAAACUCAAAUGAAUUGACGG